UUUCAGCGAGCCGAGCCACACCGGCUGCUCCGCCGGACGGUUGUUGCCGUAGGUCGCGAGCACGGCAUGCGCUUC
The sequence is an antisense RNA, 75 nucleotides long. It matches the Rfam family "ASpks TB sRNA".